AUUGAACGCUGGCGGAAUGCUUUACACAUGCAAGUCGAACGGCAGCACGGACUUCGGUCUGGUGGCGAGUGGCGAACGGGUGAGUAAUACAUCGGAACGUGCCCAGUCGUGGGGGAUAACGUAGCGAAAGCUACGCUAAUACCGCAUACGAUCUAAGGAUGAAAGCGGGGGAUCGCAAGACCUCGCGCGAUUGGAGCGGCCGAUGGCAGAUUAGGUAGUUGGUGGGGUAAAGGCUCACCAAGCCGACGAUCUGUAGCUGGUCUGAGAGGACGACCAGCCACACUGGGACUGAGACACGGCCCAGACUCCUACGGGAGGCAGCAGUGGGGAAUUUUGGACAAUGGGCGCAGGCCUGAUCCAGCCAUUCCGCGUGCAGGAUGAAGGCCCUCGGGUUGUAAACUGCUUUUGUACGGAACGAAAAGGCUCUGGUUAAUACCCGGGGCUCAUGACGGUACCGUAAGAAUAAGCACCGGCUAACUACGUGCCAGCCGCCGCGGUAA
This 500-nucleotide ribosomal RNA is filed under the name uncultured bacterium. RNAcentral describes it as "partial 16S ribosomal RNA". It matches the Rfam family "Bacterial small subunit ribosomal RNA", at positions 30 to 523 of the family's 1533-position model. The record is from RNAcentral.